Molecule: ribosomal RNA, 465 nt
Filed under: uncultured bacterium
Lineage: Bacteria
Description: partial 16S ribosomal RNA
Rfam family: Bacterial small subunit ribosomal RNA
Source: RNAcentral
GACGAACGCUGGCGGCGUGCUUAACACAUGCAAGUCGAACGGAAAGGCCCUGCUUUCAGGGUUCUCGAGUGGCGAACGGGUGAGUAACUCGUGGGUGAUCUGCCUUGCACUUCGGGUUAAGCCUGGUAAGGUGGGUCUAAUACCUGAUAGGAGCCAUUUUUAGUGUGAUGGUUGGAAAGUUUUUUCGGUGUUGGAUGAGUUCUCUGCCUAUCAGCUUGUUGGUGGGGGAAUGGCCUACCAAGGCGGCUUCGGGUAGCCGGCCUGUGAGGGUGGACGGCCACAUUGGGACUGAGAUAAGGCCGAGACACCGACGGGAGGAAGAAGGGGGGAAGAUUGCACAAUCGGCGCAAGCCUGAUGCAGAGACGCCGCGUGGGGGAUGACGGCCUUAGGGUUGUAAAAUAAUUGCGUAAGGGACGAAGCAUUUUGUGACGGUACCUAGAUAAGAAGCACCGGCUAACUACGUG